Molecule: long non-coding RNA, 1812 nt
Filed under: Vigna radiata
Lineage: Eukaryota; Viridiplantae; Streptophyta; Magnoliopsida; Fabales; Fabaceae
Description: long non-coding RNA (VRAD_LNC001622)
Source: RNAcentral
UGGACUUGGUUACCUACCAACAGAUAUAUCCACCGGUAAUACCAUUAAUAAACGUUGACAAUUAUUACUAGUGGCCAAUGGUUAUUGGCAAGUUCUCCGACUUUAUGAAAUUAGAACAUGGUUUCCCUCUCCUGCAUUUUCGUUUUCCUCCAAAAGAACCCUCCCACAACUCCCAAUCUGAAACCCCCAGGUGGUGGCGUAACGGUGGACGCUUGUGGCUGGUGGCGAUGCAGCGGCGUGACGGUGGCAGUAACGGUGGUUCGAGGCAAGUUGCGCGACCUUGCUCCAAAUUUGCACGACGCAGUGGUGGUGCCAGCUUCACGGUGGUGGUGUGAGGCUUCAUGGUAGUGGCACGAGGGUGGCUUCGCGGUGGCGCGAAGGUGUUGUAAGGCUGCUUGUGAUUUGCAUGACGGUGGUGGCGUGAGCGCGAUGAUGAUGGCGCAAGGUUGGUGCGAAGGUGGCCACCGCGUCACGGUGGCUGCUAGUGGUGGAGGAUUCCUUGUUGCUGGUUGUCGGUGGCAGACACAUCACAAUGCUUGCUCGUGGUGGAGGAUUCAUGACUGUUGGGUGACGGUGGUCGCUGCAUAACGGUGGAGGUAUAGCAGAAGUAAGUAUGUCUUGAAUCGAUAUUGCCUAUUUGUUUUGGUACUGAAAUUGGUUUAAUGGAUUGCCAAUGAUGCUUGUUGCCAAUUUCACAUUGGUUUGUAAUAGAUCUGUUAUUGCAAUAAUGCUUGUUGUCAAAUUGAAAUUGGUUGAAUGGAUUGCCUUGACUUAAAUGUGUUUUAGUAGUAGUAGCUAUAAUUGCAAUCUAAACUUGUUUCUCAUGACUUUUUUUGUUGUCGAAGGUUUGUGCAUGCUACCACUUCGUCGAGGGAGAACUGUUAGUUGCCUCACAUACCAUCGAGGUAAGUUUUGAGUCAUUCUUUGUUUGUAUUUAAGUGCUCAAGGUCUAGGUUUCUAUUUAAUUGUCGCACUUGACCUUUUAGAUAUUGGGAUAGUAUAUAGAAAUUUAUCAAUAUCUAUUCAUAGAUAUUGGGCUAGUUGAUAGAAAUGGAGCUUCACAUUUUAGUGGAGUGACGAUGAGCCCAAAAGCAAAGUUAUGUGGUGAGGACAUUUCCAAAUCCAAAUUUUCUUUUUCCACCAAAUCAUCAAUAUGUUUGAUAAGGACAUAUUUUACCAUGAUUUCAGUAAUGAAUUAAGAGAAAAUGUCAACUCUUCCUUGGCCUUUUACCUUGUAAAUUGUAGUUUUCUCUUAGUUUGUUAAGUGGUUGCAUUUUAAGAUUUAAUGAAAGAUUUUGAUCACUAAUCCCUGCCUUUAGGUGCUUACAGUAGUUGGAAGAAACCUAUGUAUCAAAUGAAGGCACUGGAACCCAAAGAAAGCAAGAAAAACAGCAAAAAAAGUGAAUUCUGGAAUGUUGUCGCUGAGUUGCCGCCGGGCUACCGCUUGAGCUCUCUACUCUCUGGAAGCCUGUCGUUGAGCUGUCGCUGGGCUAUCGCCUGAGCUCUCUACUCUCUGGAAGGCUGCCGUUGGGCUACCGCCUGAGCGGUGGCGUCGCUGAUGUGGCAAAAUCUGAGUUAUUUAGGGCUGAAAAGUGAGGGCUUGGUAUCUUUUGCUACCCAGACGCAUUUUCUCUGCUUGGGAGCUCUUGGAGGCGAGCUAGGAGGACUGAGAACAAUCCAUCUUCUUCCUUGGAUUCUCUUCUUUCUUCCAUUUCCACCAUUGUUGUAGGCUUGAGCUCUCCAUUCAUGGAGAGCUAGUUUCAUUAUUGUUGGGGGAUUGUUGUAGCCACUGAACUUUAUUGUAAAUCACUU